CUGGUUGAUCCUGCCAGAGGCCAUUGCUAUCAGGGUUUGACUAAGCCAUGCGAGUCGAGAGGUGUAAGACCUCGGCAUACUGCUCAGUAACACGUGGUUAACCUGCCCUAAGGUGGAGAAUACUCCCGGGAAACUGGGGCUAAUGCUCCAUAGUGGAUAUGUCCUGGAAUGGUAUAUCCUCGAAAGAUCCGUCGCCUUAGGAUGGGACUGCGUCCGAUUAGGUUGUUGGCGGGGUAACGGCCCACCAAGCCAUUGAUCGGUACGGGUUGUGGGAGCAAGAUCCCGGAGAUGGAUUCUGAGACAUGAAUCCAGGCCCUACGGGGCGCAGCAGGCGCGCAAACUUUACAAUGCGAGCAAUCGUGAUAAGGAAACCCUGAGUGCCUGUCGAUGCAGGCUGUUCAUAUAUCUAAAUCAUAUGUGAAGAAAGGGCAGGGCAAGACCGGUGCCAGCCGCCGCGGUAAUACCGGCUGCUCGAGUGAUGGCCACUAUUACUGGGUUUAAAGCGUCCGUAGCUUGACUGUUAGGUCUCUUGGGAAAUCUUCACGCUCAACGUGAAGGCGUCUAAGAGAUACCGGCAGUCUUGGAACUGGGAGAGGUAAACCGUACUUCGGGGGUAGGAGUGAAAUCUUGUAAUCCUCGAGGGACGACCUAUGGCGAAGGCAGUUUACCAGAACAGCUUCGACAGUGAGGGACGAAAGCUGGGGGAGCAAACGGGAUUAGAUACCCCGGUAGUCCCAGCCGUAAACAAUGUGCGUUAGGUGUGUCGGUAACCACGUGUUACUGAUGCGCCGAAGAGAAAUCGUGAAACGCACCACCUGGGAAGUACGGUCGCAAGGCUGAAACUUAAAGGAAUUGGCGGGGGAGCACCACAACAGGUGGAGCCUGCGGUUUAAUUGGAUUCAACGCCGGG
RNAcentral lists this ribosomal RNA (910 nucleotides) under uncultured archaeon. Its description in RNAcentral is "bacterial SSU rRNA". It matches the Rfam family "Archaeal small subunit ribosomal RNA", at positions 4 to 922 of the family's 1478-position model. The record is from RNAcentral.